CCCCUCUCAGGAUCACACGUGAAGAGUUUCCAGUACUCUGUCAGUCUUGUCUAUGGGAGGAAGAGUCAAGCAGAAGCCCACCCAUUCCAUUCCUAGCUUGGGUAGUGGCUAGUGAGUGGAAGGCCAUCUGCUACAAGU
Molecule: small nucleolar RNA, 138 nt
Organism: Ornithorhynchus anatinus (platypus)
Lineage: Eukaryota; Metazoa; Chordata; Mammalia; Monotremata; Ornithorhynchidae
Source: RefSeq, a predicted model, not a curated record